This 21-nucleotide ribosomal RNA is filed under the name Monascus pallens. RNAcentral's name for it is "partial 18S ribosomal RNA". Lineage: Eukaryota; Fungi; Ascomycota; Eurotiomycetes; Eurotiales; Aspergillaceae. The record is from RNAcentral.
GAACCUGCGCGAAGGAUCAUU